RNAcentral lists this long non-coding RNA (570 nucleotides) under Homo sapiens (human). Its description in RNAcentral is "non-protein coding lnc-TACR2-5:1". The record is from RNAcentral. Lineage: Eukaryota; Metazoa; Chordata; Mammalia; Primates; Hominidae.
UGGGAUUACAGGCGUACACCACUGCGCUGGACUAAUUUUGUAUUUUUAGUAGAGACGACGUGUCACCAUGUUGGCCAGGCUGGCCUCAAACUCCCAACCUCAGGCCAUCCGCCUGCCUCAGCCUCCCAAAGUGCUGGGAUUACAGGCGUGAGCCACCGUGCCCAGCAAACAGUUUCUUCUUAAACUCAGUUUCUUGCAUUGGAUCAUUGGCUCUCUCUCUAUCUCAAGAACAUAGGAUUUUCAGUUACAAAGACUGUGGUAAAACAGAAAAACUAUUUUGCAUUCCCCUCUCCUUCACAUUGAGCAUUUCUUAAGAUGGAUUCCAUUUCUAUUUUUAUCUGUUCUCCUAGUCAAAAUUUUCAACUCGAGUUUUGGGUCCUCUGGCCUUGAAUAAGCCAGAAAUCAGGAACGAGGGAGAGGUUGUCCUCACAGUGAGCUGCUGGACCUCAGCAAACAACACAAACCUCUGCCUCAUGUAAAUAAAGGAACAGCAUUUUCCCUGGGCAUGGUGCAGAUUUCUGGAGGACUAAGGCUCCAUAUUAAAGUUAUACAAUAAAGGCCAGGUGCUGU